UUUUGGACAAUGGGGGGAACCCUGAUCCAGCAAUGCCGCGUGCAGGAAGAAGGCCUUCGGGUUGUAAACUGCUUUUGUACGGAACGAAACGGUCCUGGUUAAUACCUGGGGCUAAUGACGGUACCGUAAGAAUAAGCACCGGCUAACUACGUGCCAGCAGCCGCGGUAAUACGUAGGGUGCAAGCGUUAAUCGGAAUUACUGGGCGUAAAGCGUGCGCAGGCGGUUUUGUAAGACAGGCGUGAAAUCCCCGGGCUUAACCUGGGAAUGGCGCUUGUGACUGCAAAGCUGGAGUGCGGCAGAGGGGGAUGGAAUUCCGCGUGUAGCAGUGAAAUGCGUAGAUAUGCGGAGGAACACCGAUGGCGAAGGCGAUCCCCUGGGCCUGCACUGACGCUCAUGCAGGAG
Molecule: ribosomal RNA, 403 nt
Filed under: uncultured bacterium
Lineage: Bacteria
Description: bacterial SSU rRNA
Rfam family: Bacterial small subunit ribosomal RNA
Source: RNAcentral